AACUGCUGGUUUAAAGAAGUGAGUCAGUUGAUUUGCUUUCUUCAUCAUACCCAUUAGGGCUGUGUUUUGCUGUGUAGCCCUAGCAAUAAUCUCGGAGUGGUGAAUGGCCUGUAACAUCUUCAAAUAUACUUUUGUUAGGUCUAGAUCCUGAGGGUCAUUUGGAGAAGCCGAGGCAGUUUCCCUAGGGGCUGGCUUGAGUAGAUUUUGUUCCGCAGUCCCACACUUACCCGGGCUAUUUGGUUGAGCCAGCACUUCAAAUCUGUUACUCAGGGGUAAGGACAUGGUGGCUGUGCUGCUAAGAGAUCCGUAGUGAAAAGCAGAGGGUUUGUUAAACAGAUGAUAGUAUAAAAAAUAAAAUUAGGUAAUCAGUCAGUUAAAAUGAAACAAUAAUUAAAUUAAUGAUUAAAUUUCAUUUAAACAGAUCUGGUUAAAUAAAAACCAAAUUAAAUGAGCAUAAGAGAUACUUAAAAGAGGAUACUAAAACAAGGGGGGAACAAAAGGAUUAAAAGAGAAAGGGGUAGGGAAGAUAAGAGAGGAGACAACAGCACACUAGGUUAGCUUAAAAUACUUAGCAAGCACUUACAGUGCAGUAGAAAACAAUAAGGCUCCGUGAUAAUCCUGUAUUACCAAAACAGGGGGACACGUGUGUAAAAAAAAUCAGGAUUCAAAAAUAUCCUUGCAGGGCAAUCAUAAAUAGAAAAUAAAAGAUAUAAAAUAAAUAAAUAAUAAAAAGUCCUUCAGGGUGGGGAAUCCAUCCAAACAGGGGAUGAGUUUUGUUUAAAAUAGUUGAGGUUUGUGUCGAUGCUUGGAUUAGCUGGGGAGAGUUGUGUAGAGUCUUCAAACGUGAUGUUGUAUAAUCUUCUGUGUGCGCACACUCUUUUUCCUGUAGGUUAGUAGACAACACUCACCCAUUUGCUGAUCCAGGCCUGAGACCAGAUCCAGUAGGCCUCAAGCCUCAGUCCUCUGGUUAGACCCUGUUUGUUGAGAAAACCUGUCUGAAGUUAGUCUCUCUCAGAGGAUUAAAGGAAAGAAGGUCCCAACGUUUCGCCUGGAAGGCUUCUUCAGGGGAGCAAGAAGAGAGUGAAGGAUCCAGGCCUCUAUAUUCAUAUAGAUCAAGUCCAUGAGGGUGGAUCCUAGAAAUAAAAGGUUCCAUAUUGGCUCAUGGAGAAAAAGCAGAUUGAUAAAUGGUCCGGAGCUGGUUCAGUGAGAGGAGAGUACAAGUUUUGAAAGGAUAUGAAGGUAAGUAAAGGGAGGGGACAAGGAGGGGUGAGGAAAACACAGCCUAUUAGGACAGGGAGUAUUAUUUGUGAAAAUGUUGAAUUUUUAUAUAUCCCUGAUAUUUUUUUUUCAAUCACAUCAAUAGGUUGUGUUAGGGAUCCUCAACUCUGGAGAUCCUGUUGGACCUGGAUUGGGGGCUCUUCCUCCUGAAAACCGGGAGGGGGGGGGUUUAUAGCUUUACUAGUUAGAGUUGGGUCCUCCAACAUAGUAAUAGGAUUAGGUCAAGGUCAGGUUAGGGUUGGGGCAGGGUCAAGGGUCAAGGGUCAGGUUAGUGUUAGGGCAGGGUCGAGGGUCAGGUUAGGGUUAGGGCAGGGUCCAGGGUCAGGUUAGGGUUAGGGCAGGGGCGGGGGUCAGGUUAGGGUUAGGGCAGGGGCGGGGGUCAGGUUAGGGUUGGGGCAGGGUCGAAGUCAGGUUAGGGUUGGGGCAGGGUCGAGGUCAGGUUAGGGUUAGGGCCUCAGUACAAGUUGAAUGGUUAGGUUUUAGGGAUCAGGUCAUGUAUAGGGUCAGAGUAGGAGUCAGGCGGUUAGGUUGAAGGUCAGGGUCUGUGUAAAAGUAUUAAAAUCAAAAUAGGUUCCAGGGUCUGUUCCAAGUGCAGGUUUUUAAAAAAAAAAAGGGGGGGGGGG
Molecule: long non-coding RNA, 1901 nt
Organism: Lates calcarifer (barramundi perch)
Lineage: Eukaryota; Metazoa; Chordata; Actinopteri; Centropomidae
Exons: 5
Source: RefSeq, a predicted model, not a curated record